Mesocricetus auratus (golden hamster) is the source of this 94-nucleotide microRNA precursor. NCBI's taxonomy places the organism in Eukaryota, Metazoa, Chordata, Mammalia, Rodentia, Cricetidae. The record is from Ensembl.
UCCCCAGAGUCCUAACACUGAAAUUCAGUGACAUUGAGUUUUGCUUGCUAUGUGUCCGGGGCAGGCACGUGGGAGCAGACAGGACAUGGCAGGA